RNAcentral lists this ribosomal RNA (493 nucleotides) under uncultured bacterium. RNAcentral's name for it is "bacterial SSU rRNA". It matches the Rfam family "Bacterial small subunit ribosomal RNA", at positions 28 to 476 of the family's 1533-position model. The record is from RNAcentral.
GAUGAACGCUGGCGGCGUGCCUAAUACAUGCAAGUCGAACGCAUUGUGGUUGAAAUGAUAUGAAGAACUUGUUCAGAUUUGAUUUUCAACAUUGCAAUGAGUGGCGAACGGGUGAGUAACACGUGGGAAACCUACCUCUUAGCAGGGGAUAACAUUUGGAAACAAAUGCUAAUACCGUAUAAUAAUUAAAACCGCAUGGUUUUAGUUUAAAAGAUGGUCUUGCUAUCACUAAGAGAUGGUCCCGCGGUGUAUUAGUUAGUUGGUGAGGUAAUGGCUCACCAAGACAAUGAUACAUAGCCGAGUUGAGAGACUGACCGGCCACAAUGGGACUGAGACACGGCCCAUACUCCUACGGGAGGCAGCAGUAGGGAAUCUUCCACAAUGGACGAAAGUCUGAUGGAGCAACGCGCGUGUGUAGAUGAAGGUUUCGGCUCGUAAAACACUGUUGUAAGAGAAGAAUGACAUUGAGAGUAACUGUUCAAUGUGUGACGGU